Molecule: non-coding RNA, 45 nt
Filed under: Schistosoma curassoni
Lineage: Eukaryota; Metazoa; Platyhelminthes; Trematoda; Strigeidida; Schistosomatidae
Source: RNAcentral
AUCCAUCUGAUGAGUCCCGAAUAGGACGAAACGUGCAUCCUUGAU